RNAcentral lists this ribosomal RNA (497 nucleotides) under uncultured bacterium. RNAcentral's name for it is "partial 16S ribosomal RNA". It matches the Rfam family "Bacterial small subunit ribosomal RNA", at positions 28 to 507 of the family's 1533-position model. The record is from RNAcentral.
GAUGAACGCUGGCGGCGUGCCUAAUACAUGCAAGUCGAGCGAACGGACGAGAAGCUUGCUUCUCUGAUGUUAGCGGCGGACGGGUGAGUAACACGUGGAUAACCUACCUAUAAGACUGGGAUAACUUCGGGAAACCGGAGCUAAUACCGGAUAAUAUUUUGAACCGCAUGGUUCAAAAGUGAAAGACGGUCUUGCUGUCACUUAUAGAUGGAUCCGCGCUGCAUUAGCUAGUUGGUAAGGUAACGGCUUACCAAGGCAACGAUGCAUAGCCGACCUGAGAGGCGGAUCGGCCACACUGGACCUGAGACACGGUCCAGUCUCCUACUGGAGGCAGCAGUAGGGAAUAUUCCGCAAAGGGCGGAAGCCUGACGGAGCAACGCCGCGUGAGUGAUGAAGGUCUUCGGAUCGUAAAACUCUGUUAUUAGGGAAGAACAUAUGUGUAAGUAACUGUGCACAUCUUGACGGUACCUAAUCAGAAAGCAACGGCUAACUACGUG